GGAUGGAGCAGUCUGGUAGCUCGUCGGGCUCAUAACCCGAAGGUCGUUGGUUCAAAUCCAGCUCCCGCAACCA
Molecule: transfer RNA, 73 nt
Filed under: Pseudomonadaceae bacterium
Lineage: Bacteria; Pseudomonadati; Pseudomonadota; Gammaproteobacteria; Pseudomonadales; Pseudomonadaceae
Description: tRNA-Met
Rfam family: tRNA
About the family: Transfer RNA (tRNA) molecules are approximately 80 nucleotides in length. Their secondary structure includes four short double-helical elements and three loops (D, anti-codon, and T loops).
Source: RNAcentral